UACUGAAUAGACAAUGACUUGGA
RNAcentral lists this non-coding RNA (23 nucleotides) under Cricetulus griseus (Chinese hamster). The record is from RNAcentral. Lineage: Eukaryota; Metazoa; Chordata; Mammalia; Rodentia; Cricetidae.